UCUGGUUCUCUCUAGAACCUUCCCCCAUCCCCUACUCUCCGAUGAAUCCUUUUUACCUCAUCCGACAACUCUCUAACCUAGAUCCAUGGUGGUUUUAUCACCCACCAAGCCACCUAUGGCUCCUAACAUUUGGUUAACUGAAGCUCCAUGACUCGACCAUGAAGGGUUGUGUCCAGACCUCUAUCAAUUCGAGUUCCACCACAAUCUCUGACCCUGUUCCGGCUAGCUAUGUCUAUUUUGAAGCUUGUUCUAGACUCUGCUUCCUUAGAUCCAAGCCUCUCUCAUUAUUUGGAUUUCUCUAAAAACCCUAGUUUUGAGGUUUUUCGGAUCUAUUUAGACCUGUUCCAGAUCCA
Molecule: long non-coding RNA, 353 nt
Filed under: Nicotiana benthamiana
Lineage: Eukaryota; Viridiplantae; Streptophyta; Magnoliopsida; Solanales; Solanaceae
Description: long non-coding RNA (NBEN_LNC039550)
Source: RNAcentral